UCUCUCUUGAGUGGAUCCUGAGUACGACGGAGCACGUGAAAUUCCGUCGGAAUCUGGGAGGACCAUCUCCUAAGGCUAAAUACUCUCUAGUGACCGAUAGUGAACCAGUACCGUGAGGGAAAGGUGAAAAGCACCCCGGAAGGGGAGUGAAAUAGAACCUGAAACCGUGUGCUUACAAGUAGUCAGAGCCCGUUAAUGGGUGAUGGCGUGCCUUUUGUAGAAUGAACCGGCGAGUUACGAUUUGAUGCAAGGUUAAGCAGUAAAUGUGGAGCCGUAGCGAAAGCGAGUCUGAAUAGGGCGUUUAGUAUUUGGUCGUAGACCCGAAACCAGGUGAUCUACCCUUGGUCAGGUUGAAGUUCAGGUAACACUGAAUGGAGGACCGAACCGACUUACGUUGAAAAGUGAGCGGAUGAACUGAGGGUAGCGGAGAAAUUCCAAUCGAACCUGGAGAUAGCUGGUUCUCUCCGAAAUAGCUUUAGGGCUAGCCUCAAGUGAUGAUUAUUGGAGGUAGAGCACUGUUUGGACGAGGGGCCCCUCUCGGGUUACCGAAUUCAGACAAACUCCGAAUGCCAAUUAAUUUAACUUGGGAGUCAGAACAUGGGUGAUAAGGUCCGUGUUCGAAAGGGAAACAGCCCAGACCACCAGCUAAGGUCCCAAAAUAUAUGUUAAGUGGAAAAGGAUGUGGCGUUGCCCAGACAACUAGGAUGUUGGCUUAGAAGCAGCCAUCAUUUAAAGAGUGCGUAAUAGCUCACUAGUCGAGUGACACUGCGCCGAAAAUGUACCGGGGCUAAACAUAUUACCGAAGCUGUGGAUUGUCCUUUGGACAAUGGUAGGAGAGCGUUCUAAGGGCGUUGAAGCAUGAUCGUAAGGACAUGUGGAGCGCUUAGAAGUGAGAAUGCCGGUGUGAGUAGCGAAAGACGGGUGAGAAUCCCGUCCACCGAUUGACUAAGGUUUCCAGAGGAAGGCUCGUCCGCUCUGGGUUAGUCGGGUCCUAAGCUGAGGCCGACAGGCGUAGGCGAUGGAUAACAGGUUGAUAUUCCUGUACCACCUAUAAUCGUUUUAAUCGAUGGGGGGACGCAGUAGGAUAGGCGAAGCGUGCGAUUGGAUUGCACGUCUAAGCAGUAAGGCUGAGUAUUAGGCAAAUCCGGUACUCGUUAAGGCUGAGCUGUGAUGGGGAGAAGACAUUGUGUCUUCGAGUCGUUGAUUUCACACUGCCGAGAAAAGCCUCUAGAUAGAAAAUAGGUGCCCGUACCGCAAACCGACACAGGUAGUCAAGAUGAGAAUUCUAAGGUGAGCGAGCGAACUCUCGUUAAGGAACUCGGCAAAAUGACCCCGUAACUUCGGGAGAAGGGGUGCUCUUUAGGGUUAACGCCCAGAAGAGCCGCAGUGAAUAGGCCCAAGCGACUGUUUAUCAAAAACACAGGUCUCUGCUAAACCGUAAGGUGAUGUAUAGGGGCUGACGCCUGCCCGGUGCUGGAAGGUUAAGAGGAGUGGUUAGCUUCUGCGAAGCUACGAAUCGAAGCCCCAGUAAACGGCGGCCGUAACUAUAACGGUCCUAAGGUAGCGAAAUUCCUUGUCGGGUAAGUUCCGACCCGC
This 1596-nucleotide ribosomal RNA is filed under the name Staphylococcus aureus. RNAcentral describes it as "partial 23S ribosomal RNA". It matches the Rfam family "Bacterial large subunit ribosomal RNA", at positions 391 to 1991 of the family's 2925-position model. Lineage: Bacteria; Bacillati; Bacillota; Bacilli; Caryophanales; Staphylococcaceae. The record is from RNAcentral.